GCUGCAGGAAUUCCCAAUACUAUCGAUACGGGUUGUGGGAGCAAGAGCCCGGAGAUGGAUUCUGAGACACGAAUCCAGGCCCUACGGGGCGCAGCAGGCGCGAAAACUUUACAAUGCAGGAAACUGUGAUAAGGGAACCCCGAGUGCCCGUAUGGACGGGCUGUUCAGGUGCUUAAAAACCACCUGGAGAAAGGGCCGGGCAAGACCGGUGCCAGCCGCCGCGGUAAUACCGGCGGCUCGAGUGGUGGCCACUAUUACUGGGCUUAAAGCGUCCGUAGCUUGGUCGUUAAGCCUCUGGGGAAAUCUUCCGGCUCAACCGGAAGGCGUCUCAGGGGAACUGGCGACCUAGGGAUCGGGAGAGGUGAGAGGUACUCUGGGGGUAGGAGUGAAAUCCUGUAAUCCUCAGGGGACCACCUGUGGCGAAGGCGUCUCACCAGAACGACUCCGACAGUGAGGGACGAAAGCUGGGGGAGCAAACCGGAUUAGAUACCCGGGUAGUCCCAGCCGUAAACAA
RNAcentral lists this ribosomal RNA (514 nucleotides) under uncultured Methanofollis sp. RNAcentral describes it as "bacterial SSU rRNA". It matches the Rfam family "Archaeal small subunit ribosomal RNA", at positions 244 to 760 of the family's 1478-position model. Lineage: Archaea; Methanobacteriati; Methanobacteriota; Methanomicrobia; Methanomicrobiales; Methanomicrobiaceae. The record is from RNAcentral.